This 253-nucleotide ribosomal RNA is filed under the name uncultured bacterium. Its description in RNAcentral is "partial 16S ribosomal RNA". It matches the Rfam family "Bacterial small subunit ribosomal RNA", at positions 524 to 776 of the family's 1533-position model. The record is from RNAcentral.
UACGGAGGGGGCUAGCGUUGUUCGGAAUUACUGGGCGUAAAGCGCGCGUAGGCGGACCUGCAAGUCGGGGGUGAAAGCCCGAGGCUCAACCUCGGAACUGCCUUCGAUACUGCGGGUCUCGAGUCCGGGAGAGGUGAGUGGAAUUCCUAGUGUAGAGGUGAAAUUCGUAGAUAUCUGGAGGAACACCGGUGGCGAAGGCGGCGUUCUGGACUGUUUCUGACACUGAAAAACGAAAGCCAGGGGAGCAAACGGG